Molecule: ribosomal RNA, 465 nt
Filed under: uncultured bacterium
Lineage: Bacteria
Description: partial 16S ribosomal RNA
Rfam family: Bacterial small subunit ribosomal RNA
Source: RNAcentral
GACGAACGCUGGCGGCGUGCUUAACACAUGCAAGUCGUACGGUAAGGCCCUUUCGGGGGUACACGAGUGGCGAACGGGUGAGUAACACGUGCGUAACCUGCCCACAACUUUGGGAUAACGCUAGGAAACUGGUGCUAAUACUGGAUAUGUGCUCCUGCUGCAUGGUGGGGGUUGGAAAGCUCCGGCGGUUGUGGAUGGACUCGCGGCCUAUCAGCUUGUUGGUGGGGUAGUGGCCUACCAAGGCGGCGACGGGUAGCCGGCCUGGGAGGGUGACCGGCCACAUUGGGACUGAGAUACGGCCCAGACUCCUACGGGAGGCAGCAGGGGGGAAUAUUGCACAAUGGGCGCAAGCCUGAUGCAGCAACGCCGCGUGCGGGAUGACGGGCUUCGGGGUGUAAACCGCUUUCAGCAGGGACGAAGCUUUUUGUGACGGUACCUGCAGAAGAAGCACCGGCUAACUACGUG